RNAcentral lists this small RNA (67 nucleotides) under Sinorhizobium meliloti 2011. RNAcentral's name for it is "putative ncRNA". The record is from RNAcentral. Lineage: Bacteria; Pseudomonadati; Pseudomonadota; Alphaproteobacteria; Hyphomicrobiales; Rhizobiaceae.
GGCCAGAAUUUCGCUGCGCCUUCGACGGGCGUUACGAUCGGUCGGCCGAGCUCCGCCUCGGCCUUGA